Molecule: long non-coding RNA, 611 nt
Organism: Neopsephotus bourkii (Bourke's parrot)
Lineage: Eukaryota; Metazoa; Chordata; Aves; Psittaciformes; Psittacidae
Exons: 3
Source: RefSeq, a predicted model, not a curated record
CGCACAGGUAACUUUCCGAGCGGCGCUGGAUUCUUUCACUAAAGGCGCGGGGCAGAGGGACGAGCCGCCAGCUGAUUGGGCGGCGCGGCCCGGCAGGUGCGCUGCCAUUGGAAGAGGCGCGCACAGGCCAACACCUCUGACAGCUGGGAGACUCAACACAACACCUAGGGUGAAGCUAUGGUGAGACUGAAUCAUGUUAUGGAGGCAGAAGCGUCCUCAGAUCAUGUCAUUCGUUGUGAGGGCGUUGUCUUGGGAGAUAAAAAAGAAGGGAAAAGCUGAGCUAUGGUAGAGCUGAUUUGAGGAGAUUUGCACGUCUAUGGAAAAGUUCUGCAGGCGGGUGGCCAGCAUGUUCAGGAGCUGUCUGUAAGUCUUUUGUGUGCAUUGCUCCCCAGUGGCAGCCCAGCAUAGAGCAGAGCCCAGCAGCACACUUGGCAUGGUAUAAAUGUGAAGUGGGGAAACCCUGUACCAGUUGAUUUAGAAACAGUUAAACAGCUUAUGACUGCAGUUGACUGAUCCCCUCAACUCCACCAUUAGCAAGAAUCCAAGCCUCCCUAAUUUAUCGAAUAAAACCACUUUAUCUGUGGCAAAUGGCCCCAUUUCCAGCUCCUGCA